Molecule: ribosomal RNA, 524 nt
Filed under: Klebsiella sp.
Lineage: Bacteria; Pseudomonadati; Pseudomonadota; Gammaproteobacteria; Enterobacterales; Enterobacteriaceae
Description: bacterial SSU rRNA
Rfam family: Bacterial small subunit ribosomal RNA
Source: RNAcentral
AGCAGACUGAUGCAGCCAUGCCGCGUGUGUGAAGAAGGCCUUCGGGUUGUAAAGCACUUUCAGCGGGGAGGAAGGCGGUGAGGUUAAUAACCUCAUCGAUUGACGUUACCCGCAGAAGAAGCACCGGCUAACUCCGUGCCAGCAGCCGCGGUAAUACGGAGGGUGCAAGCGUUAAUCGGAAUUACUGGGCGUAAAGCGCACGCAGGCGGUCUGUCAAGUCGGAUGUGAAAUCCCCGGGGCUCAACCCUGGGAACUGCAUUCGAAGACUGGGAAGGCUAAGAGUCUUUGUACAGGGGGGGUAGAAAUCCCAGGGUGUAGCGGUUGAAUUGCGAAAAGAUCUGGAAGGAAUACCGGUGGCCAAAGGCGGCCGCCUGGAACAAGAACUGAACCUUAAAGUUCCAAAACCUGGGGAACAAACGGGAUAUAAAUACCCGGGUAAUCCCCCCCUUUAACCCAAGUGCAUUUGGAGUUUGUGCCCUUUAGGCGGGGUUUCCGGAACAAACCUGUAAAUCCCCCCCUGGGAA